RNAcentral lists this ribosomal RNA (664 nucleotides) under Salmonella enterica. RNAcentral's name for it is "bacterial SSU rRNA". It matches the Rfam family "Bacterial small subunit ribosomal RNA", at positions 881 to 1533 of the family's 1533-position model. Lineage: Bacteria; Pseudomonadati; Pseudomonadota; Gammaproteobacteria; Enterobacterales; Enterobacteriaceae. RNAcentral also lists the same sequence under 1 other name. The record is from RNAcentral.
UACGGCCGCAAGGUUAAAACUCAAAUGAAUUGACGGGGGCCCGCACAAGCGGUGGAGCAUGUGGUUUAAUUCGAUGCAACGCGAAGAACCUUACCUGGUCUUGACAUCCACAGAACUUUCCAGAGAUGGAUUGGUGCCUUCGGGAACUGUGAGACAGGUGCUGCAUGGCUGUCGUCAGCUCGUGUUGUGAAAUGUUGGGUUAAGUCCCGCAACGAGCGCAACCCUUAUCCUUUGUUGCCAGCGGUCCGGCCGGGAACUCAAAGGAGACUGCCAGUGAUAAACUGGAGGAAGGUGGGGAUGACGUCAAGUCAUCAUGGCCCUUACGACCAGGGCUACACACGUGCUACAAUGGCGCAUACAAAGAGAAGCGACCUCGCGAGAGCAAGCGGACCUCAUAAAGUGCGUCGUAGUCCGGAUUGGAGUCUGCAACUCGACUCCAUGAAGUCGGAAUCGCUAGUAAUCGUGGAUCAGAAUGCCACGGUGAAUACGUUCCCGGGCCUUGUACACACCGCCCGUCACACCAUGGGAGUGGGUUGCAAAAGAAGUAGGUAGCUUAACCUUCGGGAGGGCGCUUACCACUUUGUGAUUCAUGACUGGGGUGAAGUCGUAACAAGGUAACCGUAGGGGAACCUGCGGUUGGAUCACCUCCUUACCUUAAAGAAGC